Molecule: unclassified non-coding RNA, 352 nt
Filed under: soil metagenome
Description: partial contains 5.8S ribosomal RNA, internal transcribed spacer 2, and large subunit ribosomal RNA
Rfam family: 5.8S ribosomal RNA (bases 1-120)
Source: RNAcentral
GAUGAAGAACGUAGCGAAAUGCGAUAAGUAAUGUGAAUUGCAGAAUUCAGUGAAUCAUCGAAUCUUUGAACGCACAUUGCGCCCGCCAGUAUUCUGGCGGGCAUGCCUGUUCGAGCGUCAUUACAACCCUCAGGCCCCCGGGCCUGGCGUUGGGGAUCGGCGGAAGCCCCCUGCGGGCACAACGCCGUCCCCCAAAUACAGUGCGGUCCCGCCGCAGCUUCCAUUGCGUAGUAGCUAACACCUCGCAACUGGAGAGCGGCGCGGCCACGCCGUAAAACACCCAACUUCUGAAUGUUGACCUCGAAUCAGGUAGGAAUACCCGCUGAACUUAAGCAUAUCAAUAAGCGGAGGA